CUCCACAAGGAGACUGACUGCCUGUUACACGAAUGCAGUAGAGCCAAGACUCGUGCUCGUAGUCCUGAUCUUUUUUUCCCAGCCUUGGCGGUCCACAUUCCAGUCAACCAUCCUUGGUGUAUUCGAGAUGCGUAAAUCUCGUAAAACUAAUUGUGGAGUGAAGAAUGGUUGUGAGAGGCAAUGUAAACCAGCAGGUGGCAAUGCCAGAAGAGGGGGGAUUAAACAACAUAAUCAAGAUGAUGAUUUUUCACUGCUUCAUCAAGAAUUAAUUGAAAACAAAAUGUUCUGUUUAUAUAAAGCAUUUAAGCUGUGUGUGUGUGUGUGUGUUAAAUCUUGCUAGCUAGAGGAACAUUUAACCCCUUUUGUCUGACAGAAUUAUAGCUCUAUUUGAUUUUCUCAAUCUCUUUAUACAGAAUUUCACUUCAUUGUAGAAUUUCAUUUUUAGUGGGAGACUAGAAAAUCUUAUGAUUUACUGUACAUUAGGAAGAAUGACUAGUUUGCCAAUAUAAUAUGGAUAUAUUUUACAUACUAUAUUGUAAACAUGCUGACAUACAGUACUGCUGCAGAAUAUUUUUGAGUGAAAGGGGAGAAUUAACAUCCUGCAAAAUGACUGUUUGAGAAUGGUAAUCUAAUCUAAAUUUAAACAUAGCUAAACACGUUCAGAUGAGUGACUGUCCUUUGAGUUUUGCCGUUGAAAUUCACUUAAUGCUCUCUCUUCCUGGUUGUGGUUAAUUGCUUCAUCAAAGAGAUUCUGCCUUGGAAAGUCAUUAUUUUCUAAUGAAACAUCAAAUAGAGGAGAUCAUUUUAAAAAAGGAAACUGAAAUUAGAGGAAUAUAACCACAUUGUGGAUUGAUUCUACAAAGUGAUUUUAAAACUUAAGAGUACAUUUUCUAUUUCUAAUUAGGCUGGUCAUACACUAUCAUUAUCAUCAUGCUGAUGUGGGGCUCUUUUUCUGUGUCUAUCUAUAGAACCAUUUCAGACUUUGAGAAUAUAUUGCAAUGAGGGUGUAUUAUUCCCUGUCUAUGAUUGACGAAUGAAACUUGCAGUACUAUCAGUAAGAACUGCAAAAGAUGGUUUAACACAUUAAGUAAGCCUAAAAGAAUGAGUACAUUAUCUUUUAGCUGAAGAAAAUGUUCUGUAUUACUGUAAAACAUUCAUAUGCAUAAGGAGUCCUGAUAGACUAAAGGCAGAGGGGCCCUUUCCAAAUGAUUCUUCUGUCACAAGCUCAAGGGGAUGAAAGUCAUUUCCCUUUGAUCGAUUAGCUAAUUUAUGAAUUAAUUAGUGUGUUUUGCAUUGUUUAAGUCUGGCAGCAACAACCGUUACUGGGAGGACAUUUCUCCAUGUAUUUUAUAUCAUAUAAGACAAGGGGUUGGCAUGGUAACCUCAUUUACCAUUCAAAGCCCUUAUUCAUAUUGAAGAAUGGCACUCAUGGGUAUUGUCAAGACAUGAUUCAAUAUUCUUCAUAAAAGCCGCUGUACGUUCGAAUGGUUUCGAUUUUUGUCUUAAAGAAUACAGAUGUCUAAUUAACUUUAGGGCACAAAUAAAGUUCAGAUUUUAAGUUUGUAUUUUUUUAUUCAAAGGCUAAUACAUUUAUUGGCUCACACUGUUUAAAAUAUCCACUGAGGUGAACA
Molecule: non-coding RNA, 1631 nt
Organism: Oncorhynchus mykiss (rainbow trout)
Lineage: Eukaryota; Metazoa; Chordata; Actinopteri; Salmoniformes; Salmonidae
Source: RefSeq, a predicted model, not a curated record